UGACCUCAAAUCAGGUAGGACUACCCGCUGAACUUAAGCAUAUCAAUAAGCGGAGGAAAAGAAACUAACAAGGAUUCCCCUAGUAACUGCGAGUGAAGCGGGAAAAGCUCAAAUUUAAAAUCUGGCGGUCUUUUGGCUGUCCGAGUUGUAAUCUAGAGAAGUGUUAUCCGCGCUGGACCGUGUACAAGUCUCCUGGAAUGGAGCAUCAUAGAGGGUGAGAAUCCCGUCUUUGACAUGGACUGCCAGGGCUUUGUGAUGCGCUCUCAAAGAGUCGAGUUGUUUGGGAAUGCAGCUCAAAAUGGGUGGUAAAUUCCAUCUAAAGCUAAAUAUUGGCGAGAGACCGAUAGCGAACAAGUACCGUGAGGGAAAGAUGAAAAGAACUUUGGAAAGAGAGUUAAACAGUACGUGAAAUUGCUGAAAGGGAAACGCUUGAAGUCAGUCGCGUCGUCCAGGGAUCAACCUUGCUUUUGCUUGGUGCACUUUCUGGUUUGACGGGUCAGCAUCAAUUUUGAUUAUUGGAAAAAGGUUAAGGGAAUGUGGCAUCUUUGGAUGUGUUAUAGCCCUUGGUCGUAUACAAWGGUUGGGAUUGAGGAACUCAGCACGCCGCAAGGCCGGGUUUAAACCACGUACGUGCUUAGGAU
This 641-nucleotide ribosomal RNA is filed under the name Cortinarius canabarba. Its description in RNAcentral is "eukaryotic LSU rRNA". It matches the Rfam family "Eukaryotic large subunit ribosomal RNA", at positions 1 to 625 of the family's 3401-position model. Lineage: Eukaryota; Fungi; Basidiomycota; Agaricomycetes; Agaricales; Cortinariaceae. The record is from RNAcentral.